CUCUCUCUCUCUCUCUCUCUCACCGUCUGAUCUGAGAGGCGGUCUCUUCUCUUCUAUAUAUUUUGAUUGAGGACCCUUCUCUUGGUAGCAACAAUACUGAGCGGAAACAGAAGAAAGAAGAUAAUUUUAUCUGAUCAAAAGUAAAAAAGAAGGACAAAGCAAAACAUGGGACAUGGUGAAAAGGGUCGACCCAACAAGAAGCUCAAAUCCUCUAAGGAUGAGCACAGGAGCACAACUAUGGAAGACGAUGACUUUUAUUUCGGUGAAGAAACAGAAGAUGAUUAUCGCGAUGACGGCGAUAAGGAAGGGAAGAAGAGGGAUUUUAGCAAAUUAGAACUGAAACUAGACCACGCCAAUCGGCCGCUAUGGGCCUGCGCCGAUGGUCGCAUUUUCCUCGAGACUUUCUCCCCUUUGUACAAACAAGCCUACGAUUUCCUCAUCGCCAUUGCCGAGCCCGUUUGCAGGCCUGAGUCAAUGCACGAAUACAAUUUGACUCCACAUUCAUUAUAUGCUGCUGUGUCAGUGGGUCUUGAAACUGAAACCAUAAUAGCUGUUUUGAACAAGUUGUCCAAAACAAAGCUGCCCAAAGAGAUGAUUGAUUUUAUUCAUGGUUCUACUGCCAAUUACGGCAAAGUGAAGCUUGUGCUUAAGAAGAAUCGGUACUUUGUUGAAUCACCAUUUCCAGAGGUACUGAAAAGGUUGUUGAAAGAUGAAGUUAUAUCUCGUGCAAGAAUGACCUCUGAGGUGCAUGGAAAUGAUGGUUUUACAAUAAGUAAAACUGCUGGAGAAAUUGCAACUGGUCAUGAUGGGUUGCUAAAUGAAGCAGAAUUGGCAGCUGCAGCAGAAGAAAAAGAAACUCACUCAUUUGAGAUUGAUCCUUCUCAGGUUGAAAAUGUAAAACAGCGGUGCUUGCCAAAUGCUUUAAAUUAUCCAAUGUUGGAGGAGUAUGACUUUAGAAAUGAUACUGUCAAUCCUGAUCUUGACAUGGAACUGAAGCCUCAUGCACAACCACGACCAUAUCAAGAAAAGAGCCUUAGUAAAAUGUUUGGAAAUGGUAGAGCAAGAUCUGGCAUCAUUGUACUACCAUGUGGUGCUGGAAAGUCCUUAGUUGGUGUUUCUGCAGCAUGUCGAAUAAAGAAAAGUUGCCUUUGUUUAGCAACAAAUGCUGUAUCUGUGGAUCAGUGGGCCUUUCAGUUCCAGCUCUGGUCUACCAUCCGAGAUGAACAAAUUUGUCGAUUCACAUCUGAUAGCAAAGAAAGAUUUCAAGGCAAUGCUGGGGUUGUUGUGACAACAUAUAACAUGGUUGCUUUUGGUGGUAAACGAUCUGAAGAAUCUGAAAAAAUUAUUGAAGAAAUAAGAAAUAGAGAAUGGGGACUGCUUCUUAUGGAUGAGGUCCAUGUGGUUCCUGCUCACAUGUUUCGUAAAGUUAUUAGCCUCACUAAAUCUCACUGCAAACUUGGGCUUACUGCCACACUUGUCAGAGAGGAUGAAAGAAUUACAGAUUUGAACUUUCUAAUUGGUCCCAAAUUGUAUGAAGCAAACUGGUUGGAUCUAGUGAAAGGAGGAUUUAUAGCAAAUGUCCAGUGUGCUGAAGUAUGGUGUCCAAUGACCAAGGAGUUUUUUGCUGAAUAUCUGAAGAAAGAAAACUCCAAGAAGAAGCAGGCACUAUAUGUGAUGAACCCCAAUAAGUUCAGGGCAUGUGAGUUUCUGAUACGUUUCCAUGAACAACAGCGAGGUGACAAGAUAAUUGUGUUUGCUGACAAUCUCUUUGCACUUACUGAGUAUGCAAUGAAACUUCGCAAACCUAUGAUUUAUGGUGCUACCAGCCAUGCUGAGAGGACAAAAAUUCUUCAGGCUUUCAAAACUAGCAAGGAAGUAAAUACAAUUUUUCUGUCAAAGGUGGGUGAUAAUUCAAUAGAUAUUCCUGAGGCAAAUGUGAUAAUUCAGAUUUCGUCACAUGCUGGUUCUAGACGACAAGAAGCCCAACGAUUAGGGCGUAUUCUUAGGGCAAAGGGUAAACAUCAAGAUAGGAUGGCAGGUGGCAAAGAAGAGUACAAUGCGUUUUUCUAUUCCCUUGUUUCUACUGAUACACAGGAAAUGUACUACUCCACCAAAAGGCAGCAGUUCUUGAUUGAUCAGGGUUACAGCUUUAAGGUGAUAACAAGUUUGCCUCCACCUGAUUCUGGUGCUGAUUUGAGUUACUACCAUCUUGAUGAGCAAUUGGCACUCCUAGCGAAGGUUUUGAAUGCUGGAGAUGAUGCUGUGGGCUUAGAGCAGCUAGAAGAAGAUGCAGAUGACAUAGCACUUCAUAAAGCUCGUCGCUUCAUGGGUUCAAUGAGUGCAAUGUCAGGUGCAAAGGGAAUGGUUUAUAUGGAAUACAGUACUGGACGGAACAAACUCGGCGGGCAGGGCCAAGUUAAGAGUAAACCCAAGGAUCCAUCCAAGCGGCAUUAUCUGUUCAAAAGACGCUAUGGCUAAGAUGACAAAUGAACACCAUAAUGGCUGUUCUUGUGUUCUUUUUACAUACCAAGAGAUGAGUGUGAAGGACCAAAGGUGCUCUCAAACUAGGAUUUUCUUACGGUUUGGUAUGUAUUAAAAAAUUAUGUAUGCUGAUGCUAUACUUGCAAGAUUCCAUACAGAAGUAUAAUGCUUGCAAUUACUUCUUUGCACAUUCUACUUGAGUGUGCCAUAUUGAAAGUACAUGAUAUGAAGUCUUUCUUUACAAUUCGACAAAAGAGAUGCAUGGAUGUAGGAAUUGGUAGGAACAAAUUAUCAAAAAG
This 2780-nucleotide unclassified non-coding RNA is filed under the name Hevea brasiliensis (rubber tree). The record is from RNAcentral. Lineage: Eukaryota; Viridiplantae; Streptophyta; Magnoliopsida; Malpighiales; Euphorbiaceae.